Molecule: long non-coding RNA, 4877 nt
Organism: Girardinichthys multiradiatus
Lineage: Eukaryota; Metazoa; Chordata; Actinopteri; Cyprinodontiformes; Goodeidae
Exons: 3
Source: RefSeq, a predicted model, not a curated record
CUUGUAGAUGGCUUCACAGUUGCCUCUCCACUCCAGUCUGUUGUCCAGGUGAACACCGAGUAACAGCUUCCCUACUAAAAAGUGUUACCUCAACCCAAAUAACAUUCAGGGACAUCCACAGUAUCCCAGAUAGUGAAGUCCUGAGGAACAAGCCAGUGGCCAUCUGGGUUUGGAGGUGUCUUUAAAUGUAGUGGUGUAAAUCUACUGCCCAUGUGCUGGAGGGGAUGUCUGCCUCUCUAUAGGCCCCCAAGCCUCUCACAGAUCAAUAAAGUUAACUCAAAACAUUCACACUCUGCCAUUUGAAAUCAACCAUUUAACGAGUUGCUGUUCCUGUAAAAAUGUAGAAGGCCCCUUCAGAUUUAUUAGAAAAGAGAGUAGAAUUCCAGAGAGAAGGUCGAAGACGAUGGAGAGAAGGACAAAAACAGAACCUCAGUGGUUUUGUUUGAAUUAGUUUCUGAGAACCCUAAAGACUGUCUCUAUGUGGAGCACACAAGUAAUGAAACUGUCUUCUUCACUUAUAAGGAAGUGCACUUGAAUAAGAUCUGAGGCUUUCACAACAGCAAGCAUGGAAACUCUCCUAAAACAGUUUAAGUAAUGCAAUUACACAUGGAACGGCAAGGAUAAUCUAAAUGUCAUUCUGCUUUGAGAAAAAAUAAAAAACGCCUGAAGCAAAAUGACUCUUCAACAUCAUUCAGCAAAUGACCAUAAACCUUUUACAAACAAGCCCGAAGACUGAGGCCGUUGUGUUGCUUCGAUUUCCACAGGCCUCCACAAUAACUCCCACUCCUGAUGAUGUGUGAAGGAAAUACUGGCAAACUGUUAAUACAUUUACAAAGAGCCCACUGCAUGGCCUUCCUGCGUCAGUUCUGUUAAAGGGAAAUGAGAAAAGCACAAACUCCUGAUGUGUAAAUCAUUUCAUGGGGGUAAAAUUGAACUGUUAUUAGGAAGUGUUUUUUGUAAUUUUUAAUAAAAAGUGGAAAAUAACUACAGGAACUCUUGUUUUAUGUAUUUAUUUUGAGUCUUGGCAGCUGUUUCAGUGUCUGCUUCUCCUGGAUUGUCCUAAACUUCUCUUUUACCCGUGUCUUGGAUAUGCUGCCUUAGAUUUGUGCACAUGUAAACACUAUAGUCUACCUGAAAAUCAUCUGCUGAUUGGUUUAUGCUGAUGGAGUGCACACUAAGCAUUCCAUUUACUCCCCACUUCCCUCAAUCUGACCGUUAACUACCGCACUACCGGCCAGGAUCCUUCCAGGGGCCACAUGGGAGUAGGAAGAACGCAUUAAAAUGUCCAGUUUAUAUUGAUGUUUUACUUUUGGGCUUGACAUUACUACACCAAGAAGUAAAUCCCUUAAGCAACUGGCAGACAGAGCAUGGGCUGAGAUUGUGUUACCUGCACCCUCUGCUUUAUGGCGGCUGCAAAGAAAAUCUUACAAGUUAACAAGUGAUCAUGGAAAGAAUUACUGUGGACUCCACACUGCGUGCCGCGUCUCAUCAGGUGUGUUGUUAUGGGGCUAAAUCUGCAGCGGCUCCAGAUGCGCGGGGUGACAGGCGCUGACAGUUGAAGGCACAGGUCAGGAGCACAUGCAGUACAAGGGCACUGUUUGACAUACAAAGCAGUUUACCUCAGCGCAGAGCUAUGUCCAGUUUGGUGUGCGGGAUUAUUUGAAAAGCCAGUGAUAGGCUGAACAGUUAAACAUGCGUGAGGCACAAGCGUGUUUGUGGUAGUAAUGGGCUGUUUGCGCGAGUGUGUAUAAGCCUAUAUGUUUAUGCAGCUAAUGGGGGUUUAAUUUGAUAAGCGGCUGGCGGAUUUGUCAGCACUCAACUGGGAUGGAGGAAACCGGGUUCUGUAUAUUUUGAAUAAACAAGAAGAAAUUCACUCCAGGUUUUGCUUUCCUCUCUUUCUUUUACUGCUUGAGUGUAUGGAUCCUGUUAGUGCCACAGAAAACUAUGUCACUGCGGAUCUUAAAGCAUUUUUGUUUCUUUCAUGAAAUAGUUUGCACAUUUUAGAGAAACAGAGUUGGCUUAAAAUAGGAAGGUUAAUACAACCCAUUUCUGUGCAAGAAGUACAAAAUUGAAAAUCAGAGUUUAUUUUAUUUAGGACCACAGAGAUACUUUACAAAUUGCCCUUUGGAAUUUUAAACAUAAUUUAAGUAGAAAUGCAUCGAUCAGAGAUUGUGUGCUUAGUUUCCAAUCACUGAUUUUGUAAAGUUCUGACCUGACAAUACCAAUUUGAGCCUAAUCUGCUUUUCUUUUAAAUGUUAUAAAUAACACUAUUAAAAAUCAUAUGUCAGUCAGCCAGUCCUUUCUACCGCUUAUUCCAUAGUGGGUCGCGGGGGAGCUGGUGCCUAUCUCCAGCAGUCUAUGGGCGAGAGGCGGGGUACACCCUGGACAGGUUGCCAGUCCAUCGUUGUUAAUAAUAAACAGAAACAAUGAAGAGAUUUUAAAUUAUAAAAUUAAAAGAAUCAUUUUCCCUGUAACAGGUACAGGAUAAACAGCUUUCUCUUUGCAUUACAUGCAAUCUAUUAAUUCAGUCAAAUUCAUCCAGGUUAUGGAACAGAUGUUUUGUUUGAAUUAAGCAACUGAAUAUAUUUACAGCAUAUCUAGCAGCUUUUUCCAUGCCCGUAAAAGAUGUGUACAAGUGCACCAUAAUCACUACAUAAUUCUUUUUACUAAAAUAAAGAACAUCUUUGUCCAACUUAAUAAAAAACUUAAUAAAAAACUCUGGGUUAAUUAGAUGUGUUAAACUCUUUAACCGUUCAUUCAUUUAUUGGAACUACACAUGAACCUUAGGAGCAUUUUUGUUGUGACCAAUCAUUUAUUUAUCUCAGCAGCAGAAGUGAUGUCACACUGUGUGAGUGCGAGAGAGCAGUGGUACACAGCUCUGCCGAUAAAAUAUUUUCACUGCUAUUUAAAAAAAAAGAAAAACAUGACUUGCCUAGUGACAUUUUAAACCAUCUUUACUAUCUCACGUUUGCGAUUAGAGCAGUUAGCAUUGCUAGCUGUAAACAUCUGAGUUAGUGUGUCUUCCUGUAGAGAAAGUAGAGCACUAUUGUACCUUUAACAGAUAGAACUGACAUUUUAACAUUAAUAAAGCUGAUCAUCUUUGCUUUAUUAUGUCUAGCCUCUGUUAUCUCUUGACAUGUUCCUCCUUGAUCAAGUAACAGUCUGAAUGAAUCGCUGUCAUGCCUCCAUAGAAAACAAGCCUCUUUGCUUGUGCAUCUCAGUAAUCCUGCCAUGUUGAAAGACAGAAAGACUUUUUGACUUUCAGUCAAUACCUGACUGAAAAUGACAUGAAAGCCAGAUUUAUGCACAGAUUUUUAAACAUUUAAUUCACUGAUGAACAGCCUUGUUGCAUUUAAAUGUGGUUUUUAAAUCUUUGCUUUUUGUAAAUUCUUACCCAGAGAUUUUGAUCAGGAGGGAAAAAAAGAUUUCCCCUGUCAUAUGAACUGAUUGAAAUCCAACACUGUUUUUCAAACUUACAUUGAAAAGGUUUAACCCUCCUCGUGUAUUUUUCAGUUAGGCCUGUGAGGAGUGUUUGACAUGGGAGAUGUGGAGCUGGGGGUGGUGAUGAAGCUGUAAUGUAGUCACAACAGAGAGUUCAGAGCCAAAGGAAACAGGGGUCUCUCUCUUUUCUAAACAGGAUGAGAGGAUGAGACCACACGCAUGGCACACUGUACACUGUAUAUGUUUCUACAUACAGAUCAAGCAGAACCAUACUUAUCAAAUAAAUCAGUUUUGUGUGUAUACUGUUAUUUUGGUUGAUCCUGAAAUGUCCUUUUACUCAUUUUUUGUUUUAGAAACGCACACACAUAACAGCCCUCUUUGGGGCUUCAUGUUCCUUGAUACUCUAUGAAUGCCCUACUGUUUUUUUUCUUAUCUUUUCCAGUCUUCCAACUCCUUUUCCUUCUCCUCCUCCUCCGGACCAGGAUGGUCCUUAUCUUCACAGAUAUAGUAUGACUUUGCUCCCUCCUGUAGUUUGUCAACGUUAAUGCCUGGUCAGCCCUAAGCUUCCACAUUUUCACAGUUUUUCCUCAUUAUUACGCUUUAACCUUGUGCGCAUCUGUGUAGCCCAGCUCAAACCUGGAUUCUCAAUAUGUCAUUGGGGAAAGACAGAUGUUAUUUUCAGGACCAAAUUAUUAAAACAUCAACACUCAAGGGCUUUAUCUAGUGGAGUUUCUCUUGAGUGUUGUCUUUUUUCUGUUUUGUUUUUGAGGUUGUUCAGAAUCUGCAGACCAGCUGCUGGCUGAGGAGAAUAAAAAGCAGAAAAAGAGACAUUUAACUUUUUUUUAAUUAAUCAGCAUUUUGUACUAUAAUUACAUUUAAUACAACUAUCCAAUUGAUUUAGAUUUCAUUGGCAUUGCAACUGUGGGCUCUUUGUGUGUGUGCCAGAGAGUGUAUAUGUGUUUGAGGUGUUAUUCCAGGUGCUUUGUCAAAGUUGGUGUGUGUAAAUCAGCUGGAGACCGGAGCGAAGAGAGUUACCAUCCUUCAUCACCAGACAAGGUCUGUGCAUGUGUCUGUUUCUGAGGGAAAGUGCACGAAGCAGAGAUAAAGAGAGUAUGUUGGUUCAGGAAGUGAAGGCGGAUUUUGAGAUCUGCAGACACCCAGAGAUGCUUUGAUAUAUUAUAUGAAUGGGUAGAGGGAGACGGAAGCCUGUAAUGGUAGUGUUUGGUAUAUAUAUAUGUGUGUGUGUGUGUCUGGUUGUCUGCUAUGGAGGAUAAAGUGUGUAAAUCUAGUUUUUGUGUGAGCUCCUGUCACAGUUUUAUAUAAGUCCACUAAACAUCAGGUCCGAAAUGUCAAAUGUGGUCAUUCAAAAGGGCCUAGAUUGCAGCAAAUCUUCAUUUCCUAUAGAUGAAAUUUUAAUAACACACACAUACACAUAC